GUCCAUGGUCUUACCACCCUGAACAUGUCCAAUCUCAUCUGAUCCUAGGAGCUAAGCAGGGUCAGGCCUGGUUAGCACUUGAAUGAGAGAUUUGGGUUAGUUUAGGUAUUUAUCAAUC
Molecule: ribosomal RNA, 118 nt
Organism: Fukomys damarensis (Damara mole-rat)
Lineage: Eukaryota; Metazoa; Chordata; Mammalia; Rodentia; Bathyergidae
Source: Ensembl